CUUUAAGUUUCAGUCUUGCGACCGUACUCCCCAGGCGGCAAGCUUAACGGCUUCCCUGCGACACUCCGAUCGCGAUUUGCGACCGGAUCAUCUAGCUUGCAUCGUUUACGGCUGGGACUACCCGGGUAUCUAAUCCGGUUCGCUCCCCCAGCUUUCAUCCCUCACCGUCGAGCGCGUUCUGGUGGACCGCCUUCGCCACUGGUGGUCUUCGACGGAUCAAAGGAUUUUACCCCUACACGUCGAGUACCGUCCACCUCUCCCGCCUCCUAGUCCUGCGGUAUCCUCUGCGGGCCAACGGUUAAGCCGUUGGAUUUGACAGAGGACCUACAGAACCGGCUACGGGUGCUUUAGGCCCAAUAAUCGUCCCGACCACUCGAGGAGCUGGUAUUACCGCGGCGGCUGACACCAGACUUGCCCUCCCCUUAUUCAUCGGCCUUUU
This 439-nucleotide ribosomal RNA is filed under the name uncultured archaeon. RNAcentral describes it as "partial 16S ribosomal RNA". The record is from RNAcentral.